ACACUGUAGCUCAAUUGGUAGAGCGUCGGACUCAUGACCCGGAGGUAGCUGGAUCGAAGCCAGCCAAGUGUU
Molecule: transfer RNA, 72 nt
Filed under: Candidatus Bathyarchaeota archaeon
Lineage: Archaea; Thermoproteati; Candidatus Bathyarchaeota
Also listed under: 1 other name
Description: tRNA-Met
Rfam family: tRNA
About the family: Transfer RNA (tRNA) molecules are approximately 80 nucleotides in length.
Source: RNAcentral